RNAcentral lists this ribosomal RNA (468 nucleotides) under uncultured bacterium. RNAcentral's name for it is "partial 16S ribosomal RNA". It matches the Rfam family "Bacterial small subunit ribosomal RNA", at positions 28 to 507 of the family's 1533-position model. The record is from RNAcentral.
GACGAACGCUGGCGGCGUGCUUAACACAUGCAAGUCGAACGGAAAGGCCCUGCUUUUGUGGGGUGCUCGAGUGGCGAACGGGUGAGUAACACGUGAGUAACCUGCCCUUGACUUUGGGAUAACUUCAGGAAACUUGGGCUAAUACCUGAUAGGAGCUCCUGCUGCAUGGUGGGGGUUGGAAAGUUUCGGCGGUUGGGGAUGGACUCGCGGCUUAUCAGCUUGUUGGUGUGGUAGUGGCUUACCAAGGCUUUGACGGGUAGCCGGCCUGAGAGGGUGACCGGCAACAUUGGGACUGAGAUACGGACCAGACUCCUACGGGAGGCAGCAGUGGGGAAUAUUGCACAAUGGGCGGAAGCCUGAUGCAGCAACGCCGCGUGCGGGAUGACGGCCUUCGGGUUGUAAACCGCUUUCGCCUGUGACGAAGCGUGAGUGACGGUAAUGGGUAAAGAAGCACCGGCUAACUACGUG